GACAGAGGUUGCAAACGUUGUUCGGAAUCACUGGGCAUAAAGCGCACGUAGGCGGCCCGUUAAGUCAGUUGUGAAAGCCCCCGGCUCAACCGGGGAACAGCAUCUGAUACUGACGGGCUCGAGGAUGGUAGGGGUGAGUGGAACUCCAGGUGGAGCGGUGAAAUGCGUAGAUAUCUGGAGGAACACCGGUGGCGAAAGCGGCUCACUGGACCAUCCCUGACGCUGAGGUGCGAAAGCUAGGGUAGCAAACGGG
Molecule: ribosomal RNA, 253 nt
Filed under: uncultured bacterium
Lineage: Bacteria
Description: partial 16S ribosomal RNA
Rfam family: Bacterial small subunit ribosomal RNA
Source: RNAcentral